This 497-nucleotide ribosomal RNA is filed under the name uncultured bacterium. RNAcentral's name for it is "partial 16S ribosomal RNA". It matches the Rfam family "Bacterial small subunit ribosomal RNA", at positions 28 to 507 of the family's 1533-position model. The record is from RNAcentral.
GACGAACGCUGGCGGCGUGCCUGAUACAUGCAAGUAGAACGCUGAAGGAAGGAGCUUGCUCUUUCUGGAUGAGUUGCGAACGGGUGGGUAACGCGUAGGUAACCUGCCUGGUAGCGGGGGAUAACUAUUGGAAACGAUAGCUAAUACCGCAUAAAAUUGAUUAUUGCAUGAUAGUCAAUUAAAAGGUGCAACUGCACCACUACCAGAUGGACCUGCGUUGUAUUAGCUAGUUGGUGGGGUAACGGCUCACCAAGGCGACGAUACAUAGCCGACCUGAGAGGGUGAUCGGCCACACUGGGACUGAGACACGGCCCAGACUCCUACGGGAGGCAGCAGUAGGGAAUCUUCGGCAAUGGACGGAAGUCUGACCGAGCAACGCCGCGUGAGUGAAGAAGGUUUUCGGAUCGUAAAGCUCUGUUGUAAGAGAAGAACGAGUGUGAGAGUGGAAAGUUCACACUGUGACGGUAUCUUACCAGAAAGGGACGGCUAACUACGUG